CACUAAUUUUCCCCAUAUCCUCUUCAGAGUGAUAAGUAUGCCCAGGUAACAAAAAAUUCAUGAUCCUGAGACAUUUGAAAAGGCAAGAAAGCUUUUAAAAGAGGAAUAUGACAAGUGGUGCCACUAUGAGUGCUUGCCAUCUAAUGUGCAAACAGAGGUAGAUCUGAGUUUAGUUACCAGCACAAGGUUGUUUUGUAGAUAUUGUGAAGAGGAGUAAUUGUUGGAACAGUAGACCACACACUGUUGUUUUUGUUCUAGUUUAUGUUUCUAGUUAACUUUUUGAAUUUGAAAAAAAGCUUAUGUUCAUGAUAUUUAGUCACAGAAACUUUUUAGUCACAAUCUAACAACAGCAGUUGACUAUCUUUUGAAAAAAUGAAAAGUCUACAUAGUAAGUAUAUAUCUAAAUAAGUUUUUCUCUGUAAAAAUAUAAUUAUAUGCAAAAAUAUAAAUACCUGCUUUAUAUUAACAAAUCAGUCUAAAAAUAUGAUGAAUGAUUCCAGGUAAUAUCCGUUUUAUAUUCGUAAUAUACCGGUGGGUGAGCAUGGGUCUCCUCCCUUCAACAUUUCAGAAUAUUAAUUUGGUGGUGUUUAACCUGGCAGACAGUACCCGGAUGUAAGUGUUUAUGUUUUAAAUGGGUCACAUUACGUACCAAAUAUGACCAGCUAUAAAACAAAUUCGAAAAAGUUUUUUUCAAGUCAAAGUGUAUUAAAUAGUAAUCAAAUAAUUGCCUUUAUUGGGCGAGCAUAGGUCAAUUUUAAUGAUAAGUUUAAGAUGUAAAUGGUUUCAAUCAAAUAUUUUGCUUCAUUUCUUCUAUUGUUUGGUAUUUUUAGAAAUGAUCGACAGUUUAGGUGGGCCCGUACGUGUAAAUAACUUCCUGGCUGCAUUGAACUUGAAGCCGAUUAGUAACAAAAACCUAAAGACCACGGAGAGACGGGCAGGAAACAUUGUUGAACAUGUGGCCGACAUGUCAACUCGUGAGGCAGCCAAGGAUGCCUUCCAUCGAGAAAUGAAGGAAGUGGAUGAAGCGGAGUCCAAGAGAGCUGCCGACAGGAUGGAAGGCCUUAUCGAAGAUCUUGGUGUAUGUCCACUUCCAGAUGUCUCCCCUUAACUAAAACUGAUGUUACAACCUGACAACCAGGUAGAUGAUGAUUGGACUGAUAUAGAUGAGGAGAAUGAUAAAACUGAUGAUGUGAGACGCUCCUCCGCUUUGAAAAGGAGACGUAAUCAAGUUAGAAAACAUAAAAAAAACACAACCAAUGCUGUCUCGGGCACAGAAAACACCAUCAAGUCGAGUGUGUCUGGCACCGAAGUUCCCUUGUCACUCUAGAACAGGACUGUCUUGUGCGGUAGAUACUGCCUGGCACAAACGUGGCUUUGUCAGCUUGACUUCUCACACCUUCUUCAUGAGCAAGGCAAAGUAUGGAACGAAAGUAGGGAAAGCAGUCGUUAGUCAUCGGACAUGCGGAGUAUGUAAAUGGUGGAAAAGGAAUAGACCUUCAGAGACAGUAUGAAAUCAUCGUUGUGUUCAUGAUCACACAGGAAGUGCCAGGCUUAUGGAAAGUGUAUCGGGUGAGCGGGGUGUAUGUGAGCUACACAAGGACGGAACCCCUGUGGAAGUGAUCGAAGGCUAUGGAGAUAACACCAUGAUAGCUCGUCUGAAAUCCAAAUCAAACAUUAGCUUAUAGUGAAAAACAUUGGAAAGAAGCUAUAUGCUCUUCAGGCGGACAAAAGCAAAAAGCUCAGCAAGUUAGUGAUCCUACACAUUCAGAAAUGUGUGAAGUAUAUUCUAGCAAAGAAUCAAGGUGAUCCAAAGGGACUAGAAGAAAAUCUGAAAGCUUUAGUACCUCAUCAAUCCGCAGACCACACAAUGUGCCAGCCUCGAUGGUGUGGGUACAAGCGUGACCGCAGUGUUAAAUACUCACACAGAAGCAUGCCCUACAAAGGACCGCUGAAGGACGACCACCUUAGAUCUUAGCAGGAAAAACUGUUUGAACCAGUUGUUAUGAAGGCUCCCCAGCCCGCAGACCUCAGUUCGAGUCAACAGUGCGAGCACGCCAACAGAGAGGUCACCAUGAGGGCUCCAAAGUCCCUUCAUUAUGGAAAUUCAGAAUCUUUGGAUUUUAGAGUGAAGGCCACAGCAGCAUUCAUCAAUGAAGGGCGUCACUACAUUUCAAAGCUGUUCCACUUCAGCACUGUUAUUAUUCAAGGAACAAGAUAUUGACAGGUGAUGAUCAUAAGGUACACUCCGAGGCAGGUCUUUCCCCUGGUGUCCACAGCCUCAGAUAUGCAGAUAAAUGCCAGAAGCAUAGGAAGCGUGCCCAGGAAAGAUCGGCACUGCCAUCGACUAAGCGGCGGCGACUACAACUAAAACAAGAGCGGUCAAUAACACAAGGUGCUCAAGAAGCUCUUGAAGGCAUGUCCUAUCAGUCAGAGAUCGUGCAUUCAGAUGAUGCUGACAUCCAAAACCUGCCAGAUCCAGUCCCUCGUGGUGACUUCAAACCUAUAGUGCUGCCAACAGGACAGCCUACAUACAUUGCUUUUGACCUGGAGACAACUGGCCUUAUACACGAUGGCCAGAUCCCACAUAUUACCCAGGUUGCUGCCACAGAACCUAAAAGUGGGAAAGCUUUCAAUAUGUAUGUUCUACCUACAUUGCCCAUAUCCGACAAGGCAUAAGAAGUGACCGGCCUAAGAAUUAUGGAUCACAAGAUGCAGUACAAUGGAACUAAUGUAGAGGCUUAUUCCAUAUAAUUAUGAAGCCUUGAAAUCAUAUUGUGAUUGGUUAGAAAAAUUUCAAAAUGUUGAAUUGGUUGCGCAUAAUGGCAGAAGAUUUGACUUUCCUGUUUUGUUGACGGCAUGUGACAAUGUAGGAUUGAGGG
Ruditapes philippinarum (Manila clam) is the source of this 2879-nucleotide long non-coding RNA. RefSeq lists it as uncharacterized. The transcript is spliced from 9 exons. Lineage: Eukaryota; Metazoa; Mollusca; Bivalvia; Venerida; Veneridae. The record is from RefSeq and is a predicted model, not a curated record.